Non-coding RNA from Lasiosphaeria ovina, 119 nucleotides. Lineage: Eukaryota; Fungi; Ascomycota; Sordariomycetes; Sordariales; Lasiosphaeriaceae. The record is from the annotation of a GenBank genome assembly.
GGCAAGGUAGCCAAGCGCUCUGAGGCGCCAGGUUCGGGACUACUUGAAUUCUACAGAUUUCUCCCCAGAAUCUUCCUGGUCUCAGUAAUGGGGCGUGGGUUCGAAUCCCACCCUUGUCA